This is a long non-coding RNA of Hyaena hyaena (striped hyena), 275 nucleotides long. RefSeq lists it as uncharacterized. The record is from RefSeq and is a predicted model, not a curated record. The transcript has 3 exons. NCBI's taxonomy places the organism in Eukaryota, Metazoa, Chordata, Mammalia, Carnivora, Hyaenidae.
CAGCUUCAGAAACUCCUCAAAAGGACGAUCCGGUCUAUGACCAUGUUCACCGCUCUGCGUUAUACCAGCACAAGAUUCCAAGAAAUGAAGAGGGGGAAAAACUUUCAUGCCAAAAGUAUUUGAAAGAACACCUUCCCACACCCUUCCCCCACCAACAAAUAGAAAAAGGCCACUCAUGUGCAGAACUCAGAGACUGGAGAAGAGCCAAACGGUAUUCCAAGUUCAUCCUUCUCAAACGUCACAAACGAACAGUAGCCAUCCGUGGAGGAAAUGGC